CGUUAAGCGAUUUUUCCGUGUUCAUGAACAUCAGAAGUUGUUUUAAUUCGAAAAGAUUUGGCUCGAUGCAGCGAGGUAAACGUUACAGCGAGGUAAGCGAGGUAAAAUAGAGUCAUUGCUAAUUUUGGCACUCCCGUCAUAAACAGUCUAAUCGUGCAACAAUUACUGCUAUUUAUUAGCAGAAAACCAGAACCAUGGCGUAUUGUCUUGUUUCUAUAGCUUCUCUUCCGUGUAAUGCACAGCAAUUUCAUUAGUAUAUAUUUGACAAUUUCGAUUCCCCACUAUAUCUUCACAUGAUACUAUACGUUAUUGGGGUAAUUUACGCAUUAAUUAACAUUCCCCUUUUUGAAUACAUCGUGAACAGUUUCUACCAUUAUUCUGGUCGACGUUUCAUAUAAGAGUCCCCACAUGCCCUGGCCUACCCACACCCCCAGUACGACCCUACCC
Molecule: non-coding RNA, 447 nt
Organism: Paramuricea clavata
Lineage: Eukaryota; Metazoa; Cnidaria; Anthozoa; Malacalcyonacea; Plexauridae
Source: the annotation of a GenBank genome assembly